UUGAUCAGUGAUGACCACUGAAUAUGUGUGAUCCCUGGAUCAUGAUUAAGAACUAGGAGUCUAAGGUUCAC
Peromyscus eremicus (cactus mouse) is the source of this 71-nucleotide small nucleolar RNA. RefSeq annotates it as small nucleolar RNA SNORD113/SNORD114 family. The transcript has a single exon. Lineage: Eukaryota; Metazoa; Chordata; Mammalia; Rodentia; Cricetidae. The record is from RefSeq and is a predicted model, not a curated record.